AUGCUCGCUUUGGCAUCAAAUACACUAACAUUGGAAUGAUACAGAGAAGACUAGCAUGGCCCCUGUGCAAGAAUGACACGCAAAUUUGUGAAGUGUUCCAUAUUGGG
Molecule: small nuclear RNA, 107 nt
Filed under: Ailuropoda melanoleuca (giant panda)
Lineage: Eukaryota; Metazoa; Chordata; Mammalia; Carnivora; Ursidae
Source: RNAcentral